RNAcentral lists this ribosomal RNA (106 nucleotides) under Escherichia coli. The record is from RNAcentral. RNAcentral also lists the same sequence under 5 other names. Lineage: Bacteria; Pseudomonadati; Pseudomonadota; Gammaproteobacteria; Enterobacterales; Enterobacteriaceae.
UCUGGCGGCAGUAGCGCGGUGGUCCCACCUGACCCCAUGCCGAACUCAGAAGUGAAACGCCGUAGCGCCGAUGGUAGUGUGGGGUCUCCCCAUGCGAGAGUAGGGA